This 650-nucleotide ribosomal RNA is filed under the name uncultured bacterium. Its description in RNAcentral is "bacterial SSU rRNA". It matches the Rfam family "Bacterial small subunit ribosomal RNA", at positions 842 to 1500 of the family's 1533-position model. The record is from RNAcentral.
AGUGUCGCAGGGAAACCGAUAAACACACCGCCUGGGGAGUACGACCGCAAGGUUAAAACUCAAAUGAAUUGACGGGGACCCGCACAAGUAGUGGAGCAUGUGGUUUAAUUCGAAGAUACGCGCAGAACCUUACCAACACUUGACAUGUUCGUCGCGACUCUAAGAGAUUAGAGUUUUCGGUUCGGCCGGACGAAACACAGGUGCUGCAUGGCUGUCGUCAGCUCGUGUCGUGAGAUGUUGGGUUAAGUCCCGCAACGAGCGCAACCCUCACUUUUAGUUGCCAUCAUUAAGUUGGGCACUCUGAAAGAACUGCCAGUGAUAAGCUGGAGGAAGGUGGGGAUGACGUCAAGUCCUCAUGGCCCUUACGUGUUGGGCUACACACGUGCUACAAUGGUAUCUACAACAGGAAGCAAGACUGCGAAGUUAAGCAAAUCCCUAAAAGAUACCUCAGUUCGGAUUGCACUCUGCAACUCGAGUGCAUGAAGCUGGAAUUACUAGUAAUCGUGGAUCAGCGUGCCACGGUGAAUGCGUUCCCGGGUCUUGUACACACCGCCCGUCACACCAUGGGAGUUGGUUCUACCUUAAGGCAAGGUUUCAAACCCUUGACCACGGUAUAGUCAGCGACUGGGGUGAAGUCGUAACAAGGUACC